This 68-nucleotide transfer RNA is filed under the name Nipponacmea sp. JM-2022. Its description in RNAcentral is "tRNA-Ala". It matches the Rfam family "tRNA". From Rfam's summary of the family: Transfer RNA (tRNA) molecules are approximately 80 nucleotides in length. The record is from RNAcentral. Lineage: Eukaryota; Metazoa; Mollusca; Gastropoda; Lottiidae.
GCCACUAUACUUUAACAUAAAAGAACCGGUUUGCAACCGGAAAACAGAGAUUUGAUCUCUUAGUGACA